UGCACAAUGGGCGCAAGCCUGAUGCAGCGACGCCGCGUGAGGGAUGGAGGCCUUCGGGUUGUAAACCUCUUUUAUCGGGGAGCAAGCGAGAGUGAGUUUACCCGUUGAAUAAGCACCGGCUAACUACGUGCCAGCAGCCGCGGUAAUACGUAGGGUGCAAGCGUUAUCCGGAAUUAUUGGGCGUAAAGGGCUCGUAGGCGGUUCGUCGCGUCCGGUGUGAAAGUCCAUCGCUUAACGGUGGAUCCGCGCCGGGUACGGGCGGGCUUGAGUGCGGUAGGGGAGACUGGAAUUCCCGGUGUAACGGUGGAAUGUGUAGAUAUCGGGAAGAACACCAAUGGCGAAGGCAGGUCUCUGGGCCGUUACUGACGCUGAGGAGCGAAAGCGUGGGGAGCGAACAGGAUUAGAUACCCUGGUAGUCCACGCCGUAAACGGUGGAUGCUGGAUGUGGGGCCCGUUCCACGGGUUCCGUGUCGGAGCUAACGCGUUAAGCAUCCCGCCUGGGGAGUACGGCCGCAAGGCUAAAACUCAAAGAAAUUGACGGGGGCCCGCACAAGCGGCGGAGCAUGCGGAUUAAUUCGAUGCAACGCGAAGAACCUUACCUGGGCUUGACAUGUUCCCGACGGUCGUAGAGAUACGGCUUCCCUUCGGGGCGGGUUCACAGGUGGUGCAUGGUCGUCGUCAGCUCGUGUCGUGAGAUGUUGGGUUAAGUCCCGCAACGAGCGCAACCCUCGCCCUGUGUUGCCAGCACGUCAUGGUGGGAACUCACGGGGGACCGCCGGGGUCAACUCGGAGGAAGGUGGGGAUGACGUCAGAUCAUCAUGCCCCUUACGUCCAGGGCUUCACGCAUGCUACAAUGGCCGGUACAACGGGAUGCGACGCGGCGACGCGGAGCGGAUCCCUGAAAACCGGUCU
RNAcentral lists this ribosomal RNA (912 nucleotides) under human gut metagenome. RNAcentral's name for it is "bacterial SSU rRNA". It matches the Rfam family "Bacterial small subunit ribosomal RNA", at positions 365 to 1288 of the family's 1533-position model. The record is from RNAcentral.